Molecule: ribosomal RNA, 374 nt
Filed under: uncultured cyanobacterium
Lineage: Bacteria; Bacillati; Cyanobacteriota
Description: bacterial SSU rRNA
Rfam family: Bacterial small subunit ribosomal RNA
Source: RNAcentral
CAGGAAGGUUUUUGGAUCGUAAACCCCUUUUGUCAAGGAAAGAAGCUCUGACGGUACUUGACGAAUAAGCCUCGGCUAACUCCGUGCCAGCAGCCGCGGUAAUACGGAGGAGGCAAGCGUUAUCCGGAAUGAUUGGGCGUAAAGCGUCUGUAGGUGGCCAGCUAAGUCUGCUGUUAAAGAUCACAGCUCAACUGUGGGAAGGCAGUGGAAACUGGCAAGCUAGAGGUUGGUAGGGGUAAAGGGAAUUCCCGGUGUAGCGGUGAAAUGCGUAGAUAUCGGGAAGAACACCGGUGGCGAAAGCGCUUUACUGGGCCAGACCUGACACUGAAGGACGAAAGCUAGGGGAGCGAAAGGGAUUAGAUACCCCUGUAGUC